AGUGUUUAAGUCGAACUCCGUGCUCAGAACGAUGGGUGUAGUUCUUUACAUCUGUCUUAUCUUGUCUUGUAUUGCAGACGUGCGGUCCGACAUCGUGCUGAAACAAUCCGACCCAGCCGUGCUAAAGGCCGGAGAACCGCACCGACUGUCUUGUGCAGUCAGUGGUUUCGAUAUCAACACCUACACCAUGUACUGGGUGAAAAAGGUCUCCGGGAAAGGGCUAGAAACGUUGGUACGUUACUAUAGUAAAAAUAAUAAGUAUUACGCGCCAGGAAUCGAGAGACGGUUCACGGCUUCCAAGGACAGUGGCAAGUUUUAUCUGCAAAUGAACGACCUGAAACUGGACGACACAGGAACAUAUUACUGUGCGACAGACACAGUGAGGGAGACUGGGACUGGACCGGGACAAAAACCCACAGAGAACACUUGCACUUAG
This is a non-coding RNA of Hypanus sabinus (Atlantic stingray), 436 nucleotides long. The record is from the annotation of a RefSeq genome assembly. Lineage: Eukaryota; Metazoa; Chordata; Chondrichthyes; Myliobatiformes; Dasyatidae.